UCAAUGUGUUUGUCACUUUUCUCAACACAUGCAGACAUGUCCUGGGACCUCCUUGAUAGUUGGAGAUCUCAAUCCCCCAAUGUUGAACCCAAAGUUACGCCCUUGGUAUAAUGACAGCUGUAGAC
Long non-coding RNA from Etheostoma cragini (Arkansas darter), 125 nucleotides. RefSeq lists it as uncharacterized. NCBI's taxonomy places the organism in Eukaryota, Metazoa, Chordata, Actinopteri, Perciformes, Percidae. The transcript is spliced from 3 exons. The record is from RefSeq and is a predicted model, not a curated record.